This 405-nucleotide ribosomal RNA is filed under the name uncultured bacterium. RNAcentral describes it as "bacterial SSU rRNA". It matches the Rfam family "Bacterial small subunit ribosomal RNA", at positions 28 to 426 of the family's 1533-position model. The record is from RNAcentral.
GACGAACGCUGGCGGCGUGCCUAACACAUGCAAGUCGAACGAGGUCCAAGGAAGCUUGCUUCCUGAAGACCUAGUGGCGAACGGGUGAGUAACACGUGAGAAACCUGCCUCGGAGUGGGGAAUAACUCGGGGAAACUCGAGCUAAUACCGCAUACCUUCACAUGAUCGCAUGGUCGAGUGAAGAAAGAAUUUCGCUCUGAGAGGGUCUCGCGGCCUAUCAGCUUGUUGGUGGGGUAACGGCCUACCAAGGCAACGACGGGUAGGCUGGUUUGAGAGAACGAUCAGCCACACUGGGACUGAGACACGGCCCAGACUCCUACGGGAGGCAGCGGUGGGGAAUCUUGCGCAAUGGGCGAAAGCCUGACGCAGCAACGCCGCGUGCGGGAUGACGGCCUUCGUGGUUGU